This 605-nucleotide ribosomal RNA is filed under the name Polypedilum vanderplanki (sleeping chironomid). RNAcentral describes it as "eukaryotic LSU rRNA". It matches the Rfam family "Eukaryotic large subunit ribosomal RNA", at positions 434 to 900 of the family's 3401-position model. The record is from RNAcentral. Lineage: Eukaryota; Metazoa; Arthropoda; Insecta; Diptera; Chironomidae.
UUCAACAUUACCCCUAAUCCGACGUAAUGUGCACUUUUCUCUUAGUAAGACGCCGUGAUCCAUUAGAAAUUGAUAUAUGCCAAAUAUAUAGUGGGUCAUCAAUAGGUCAAUGUAAAGUUUAUUGGAACAAAUGGCAUAGCCCUUUACGGUUGUGUGUAUUGCCUGAUAAGUACAUUGAUACCUGUAAUGACUGUCUGAUGGAUUUUAAAGACCAUUAUCAAUGAUAUUACGAUAUCAACGCUCAUUUAUUGCGUAAAAUGAUAUGUGUGUCUGAUCAACGGCGGUUAAAUUUGGGAUACCUUUUGGACCCGUCUUGAAACACGGACCAAGGAGUCUAUCUAGUAUGCGAGUAAAUGGAUAGUUAAUGAAAUCUAUUUGCGUAAUAAACUUGACUGUUUUCAUAUGGGAAUACGAUUAAUAAUUGUACACACAAUUAUUUUUCUUCCUUCCCGGGGUAUUUUCAUUCACAUAUAAUGUUAAAGUUGUAUGGAAAAUAUACCAUGAGCACACUGGAUACGACCCGAAAGAUGGUGAACUAUGCCUGAUCAGGUCGAAGUCAGGGGAAACCCUGAUGGAGGACCGAAGCAGUUCUGACGUGCAAAUCG